ACAACAAUGCCGUUCUUAAGAAAGCUUAUGUAAGCAAAAAAAUAGAUAUAGCUGCGUACAUUUUACAUUCUAGAAAAACACUGCUCACGAAAUGUUUCCUCUUAACUAAUUCUACGAAAUAUAUAAAAAAAGAUUCUCGCAAAGUUGACGACUUUAUCGUCGAGAGGGAUGCAGGAGGUGUGACGGGACUGAUGUGUCUUACGGCAUUUUAGUGCAACAGAUGUACGGAUCGAACGGAGCAAGCGUCGGUCUACCAAUGGGCAUGACCACGCUGAAGGGCACAACCGGUACACUGGGGCCCCUGGCGAACUACGGCUCGGGGAUGGGAAUAACGGGGGCCACGACCCUGCCACGGCCGGGAAACUGGCUGCGCCCUGCGGGCCUCAGGCUCGGGCACAGCGCGGCCCGGGUCCGCCUCUACUGCCAGGCAAAGUGAGGAGCCAUGGUUCCGACAGUGACAUCUCCUCCAGCCAGAAAGACGAGUGGUUUGUGUAGAGGCAGGCCUGGACCAGAGCCCGCAGGGUGAAUCGGAGCGGUGGUGCCCUCACCGCCCCUGGGGGACGGGGCGACGCCAGACGUCGAAUCGUCUUCUGCUGAUCGUCGGUCGCGUGUUAUCGGCGAACAUCGAGCCACAAGUAACGCAGACGCAAUUCCUAAUCAUCUUCUGAUCCUCCCUUAAGCAUCGUGGAACCGCACCGGAAACAUGACCGAUACGGACCGAAGGAAAACGCGGAAAAAUUGAAUUUCGUCGCGAAGAACAGAUGUCUAAAUCCUUUUUUAUCUCAUUUUGCAAAAUUCUACGUUUUGCCAGAAGAAAUUUCUGUCACGGGAUUAUACACAGAGUAUUCCCGAACGAUGAAGGAUGGUUAGCUAUUAUGAAAAUAAACGCAAACAAAAACAAAUGGGGGGAAAAGCGAGAAAGCAAAAUCGAUAUUCCGAGUCGACAUUCGCAAAUUUGUUUGCAUCGCUAAUCGAGCUAUUAAUGAAGUAAACAGAUUUUUACGAUGAUCGAACGAGCGUUGUUUUCGUAAAAUUCGCUUGAAGAGAAUGCGUACAAAUUGUUUACAAGGGACGGAAGCGGGAUAGCGUCAACGUAAUGCGAGGCGCGGACACGCGGUCCGAGAGACUAUUGGACAAAAAUUAAUUGCAAACAGUAUGAGUGGGGCGUCGCGUGUGCGUACGUAUGCGCGAGCGUGCGAAUGUGAAUAGAAUGGAAAUGAUAAAUGCACGCACAUAGCAAAAGGGAAGAGAGACGGGAGCUUCGAUCUCGUGGUGCACGUGUGCGCAAUGAGUUUUCGUUACGUAGCCUAGUCACGUAAGUCAGGUGUUUCUCGGUGUGUAUUCUGUGAAGCAGUAGAGAGAGAGAAGAACGCCGUUUUAGUCGUACGGAUCGCAUCCGCUGUUCACGGUAACGAUUUUCGCGGGAGUCUUCAUGAACCCGGCAUUCUUACAUUGCAAUUGAUAAUUGCACUGCGAUUUAUUAAAUUAUAUAAAUAGAGUUAUCUCAGUGAAAUAAUAUUUAAAAUAAUAAAUAAUUCCAACUCAUCUCUAUAGACACGUGUGUAUCAAUAAAGAAGAAAAAAAUCACAACACAAUGUACAUCGAGUAUUAAACUGCCAAGCCAACUAUGAUGGCGAACAUUCGGGUAGAUUUAUAACAUUUAAAAAAACUAUAUUAAAUUAUAACAAUGUACAAUAUCUCCAGGUAUUUUUUAGCCGUUAUACAAUACAUAAAACAUUAUCCAAUAAUUUUUGUUUUUAUUCGAAAGAGAAACGUCAAGAAAAAAGGUUUCCACGGAAAUUCGUCGCAUGGAAAAUCGUUACCGUGAAAUCGUUAUGUACACGCGCGCGAGUAUUUGACGCAAAAGUGCGCUUGAGAUGCGUUAGUGCGUGUUGGCCGACGGAGCUGUAAUAUGAAAUUGCAAUCUAUCUCAUCCGUAGGAAAAGAUUCGCGAUUAAAGUUUGUUUUCAUCAUCUCUUUUUGUUUGACAAUUAACAUCAGCCAAAUACUGAUUAAGUUUCUCAAUAGACAUGCUUGUUAUAUAUUACAUAACUUUUUGCAUUCUUUCAAAUAUUUAAAAGAAACUUUUUUACUAUAAAAGUCAAAUAUAUUAAUUUCAGUGAAUAAAUCUACCAGUCCAUUUUGUCGACCGCUAUAUUUUAUUCGUUAUCCAAUGAAAGACUGUGCUAAAAAGCUCUCCGGCGCUGCCGUUCGCGCAAAGAUUUCUUUGGAUAUCAUAAAUCAAGAGAUUCUUUCUUCAGCGACUACACUAGUACCUCGUGUAGCUUUCUACGAGGACAAUCACUUUCCUCCUCCGCUUCUGAAUCGGCGAAGCACGAGCACAAAGCGAGCGGAUACUUCGCGAGCGUGUACUUGUAAUAUACUUGUAUCUACCAUUAGCCGUUCAAGCUUUGUGCCGUUUCCAUAGAUUACGAAUGCGAAAAAGAAAAAAACAUAUACAUAUGUAGAAGUUAUAAUGACGAGAGAGCGGAGUGAAGAGGUAAAAGAAGAUUGUAAAAGAAGAGAGUAAGAGAAUUUAUCAUUAACAUAGAGAAAAUUUUAAUUUCGCGACUUUAGCGCAUAACUCGCGUCACACUGAACGACGGAAUUACCGAUUAUCACGCGUUUGUCACGCUCGAACGUAAAUUAAAUAAAACUUUGAUCGAGAAACGAUUACGAUAAUAAAGAUAUUGAAUCUUCACGUUAAAGCAGAAAGUUAUUUUUGGUUAUAAUUAAAAAAAUCAAAUAAUUAAAGUAACAUAAUAAUUAGAUAUAAUAAUUAGAAAUUAUUUUUGGAAUAUGUCACAAAUUUUCACUUUUGCAAAGCUAAGAUAAAUUCGAAUUUAUUAUACCUAUUGCAUAUCUGUUAAUCUCCAUUCGAGCUUCAUUACACCAAAUCAAUCUGUGACCAAUAAUAUCGAUUUGCGUGCAAUCUUUGCAAGGAAGAAAUUAUAGGUAACUCGCGCAUCAAUACUAUUUCAUACUUUGACGAAAACAUAUCCAGAAUACGUCGCCGAUUUUACGUGCAUGACGAAACAUCGGAAUAUCUUCAUUUUUACUGAUUCAUGAAGUAGCCUUUGCAUAGCUUCUGCGAAUCUCGCGUGAUAUAAUAUUUGAUCGGCAUGCAUAUCGACGCCGCCACGAUUGAGACAUUUACGAAUCGAGCCGACAGACUGUAAAUCAGAAAAGAUGCGAUUGGUCAACGUUCCUCGUUACCAAGAUCAUUUCUUAGAUCACGAUAUUUUCCAACAUGUUCGUCCUUUUCAGCUCGGCCAAAUGCUAUUAUUAUUCAUUAAUUAUUUCAUCAUUACAAUGUUAAAAUUAUUAAUUCAUAUGAUAAUAGAAUGCAAUCAACACAAUAAUGCUCACAAGUAACAUCUUAACAAAUACUAAUGACAAAUUAAUAAUCUGAGGUGCAAAAUCUUUUAAUGAAGCAUGAUAGCACGUGCUGUGGCAACUGAGCUGAAAUGGACUCAUAGAAAUAUAGUUUCUUUGAAGAUAAAGAGUAGAAAAGUGUGCCUGGAUUAUGCGGAGUUGAUUUAAAUGAUCUAAGCUAGAGAAAACGAGCGAAUGACGACAGUAUACGUGCGAGAGGAAAAAUAAAGGAGAGAGAGAGAGAAAAAGAGAGAAUGCGAAGAGCGGAAAAGGAUUCUCACACGAUUAAUAUUACUGAUUAAUAUUAAUAAUAUGCUCAUUGAGUGUACUAUUUCAUUUCUAAUUAUAGCUUUUCACACAAAAGCUGUAAUUAACCAUACUGACUGAUGGUGAUAACAAUUGAAUUUCAAGGAUUAAUUUUUCGAGAUCGUGUGAGCCUCCACAAAUGUAAAUGGAUUCGCGCGGUCCUUUGUGGCUCGAAGACCACGGUUAUAGGAUAAGCGAAUAGGAAUAGGUAAGAAAUUCCGAUUGUCGGAUUCGGACACACGUAAGCUAGCUGAAACUGCCAUGAACAGGACAGUGAAAGAGAGGAAAUGUAUGAGAUAUUAGUGAAAAUUUAAGUCUGGAAAGGAGUAUCGUAUAGUCUUAAUUUAAACAGUUCGCGGUGAACUGUUAGAUACUCGUGAACGAUUAGCGACAAUUAACCUGUAGCAUAUUUAAAAGACUUUAGGAAAUUUUCGAAGUUAUUACUUAAAUUUUUCAGUACAUUAAUUGAAAUGGCUGGAAAAUCAUUGACAUUUGUUUAGACUCUUCCGUAGUCGAUUUAAUUGCGGUGCACGCGAGAUCAAUGGAAGAGUGUUUUUCAAUGAAAAAGGAACGAUAAGAAUUUUUAACACGUUUGUUAAUAAGAAUUUAAUAUGAAUGAUAUAUUUCUUCGCGAAGAAAUCGUAAAUGCGCGUUAUCGAUACACUCGCGUAGUCAUUACAUUCGAUACAACAGUGCGGAAAAGGGAUUGGCGCGUUAUCACGUCGUAAUGUCUCGUCCAGCAGAUAUAUACAUGCGCCGAUUAAAUGUAAUAUAUUUCCAAUGCUGUCUAAGCAUUCUCCGAUUAGAAAUAUACGCAAGAAAUGAAAAGAACUGAGUCUAUUCAUCAAAUAAUCAAAAUAUCUGAAAUCUCUGUCCAGCGAUAUCUUUUUAUUUCUUGUCUAAUAUUUCUUGGAAUAAACAUUUGUAUGAAGUAAGAAUAAUUGUUCUGGGAUUAUCGCAAAAAGUUUCAGGAUGUAUGUUAAUUUAAAAUGAUCAAGCCGACGACAAACGCCAAUCACAAAAGGCAAAUAAUAAUUUUAUAUUUAAGUACGCAUAUCAAAUUAAAAUACCAUAUCGCAAUCUGCAUAUCACAGCAAUCGACGCGUAAAUUCUUUAAUUUUAUCAAUAUAAUCUUUAAAUAACCAAUUUUUUUUGCACAAUUCACACGACUCAACGAAUUGGUAAAGCUUCGUUCGGCGUGGUCGAUCCAUUGAGCGCAUUUAUACCGUGUGUACUUUCAAAAUCAAUGUACGUAUACCUGAUAGAGGCAACUAAAGAGAUAAGCUAAAAGUGGAACAAUUUUGGGAAUGUCCAGAAUACUCGUCUUCUAACGAUUUAGAAAAUACGAGAGAAAUCUAGUAGUGAAAUUUCGCGUAAAAAAAAUGUAUAGGAUAAAAUGAUUCUAAUGUAUGUAACUUGUUGCAUAACAUCGUGCGAUAUUCCGUAAAGCAUCCCACGAAAAGGAUAAAUCUUUAUUAAAUAUAUACAUUUCUACUAGUGCAGGGUGAGAGAGCCUAUACUUAUAAUGCAGAUGCAGACACUGAUUAUUUUCUAAUUUAUAAAUAUACGUCGCGUACCGUGAAUAAUUAAAAAUUCUUUACUUUGUCUGUUUUAUGUUACCAUGAUAGACUUGUGAGAAUCUUGCAUUAAAACUCGUUCGUACUAAACAAAUUUUAUCGCAUAUAUUCCACGACAAGUUCUUCGUUUACUAGAUUUCCAAGCUCAUUGUAGCGCGAAGAUUUAUUAAUUAAAAAUUCACGAAAUGAGAAUAGAAUGUCGCAGCGCGCUUGUAUUUCUUGAAAGUUUAGAAAAAAAACUUAGAUGAAUCUAUACAAUAUAGAUAGACAGAUGUGUUGGAAAAGCAGAAGGAUUAAUGAAUGAACGCGAGUGUAUGGUGUGAUUGCCCUUGGAAAUUAGCGAUAAUAAUAGUGAUAAUACGAGAUAGGGGAUAACGAGAAACGGGAUAAAAAUUUCUCUAUAGAAUCAGGCGAUGCAUUGUCCUCUUCAAUUAAUUUCUUCAUAGUACUAAUUAUUUCUGUCAUUUCAAUAUAAGCUACUGAAUUCUAAUAUAUAUGUAUGUGUGUUUGAAGCUUCUAAAGAGAAAAAUUAUGGAACAUUUUGAUAAUAUAAAAUAACGAGCAAAAAAUAUGACUGAACACUUUUAUAGAUUUGACAUUAGAUAUAAAUCAAAUAAUAUCAAAUCUAUGAAAAAGGUGAUUUAAGUAAAUUUAUAAAGUUUGCAUAAUAUUUGGUUAAAUUUAUAAUUUCUAUUACCAAUCGAAAUUAGAGUAAGCAACGUUCACAUUCGGUAAAUGAAAGAUGGAAUACACGCGUGUAAAACGAGGAUAAAGGCGGUCUCUGUCAAUUGCAACUUGGUAAAGAAGAGAUCUACCCCGUACAAGUUCCCGUAAAAGCCGGUUUUACACGUUGUAUCUCUACAAUUCGUAUCGAGAAAUACACGAGUAUUAUCAUCGUUGUUUAACGAUUAAUAAAACCAUAAACUAUUUUGAGCAUGUGAUCGCAUGCAGCAGAAUUUCGAAGUUAAUCAUUCUAUUUUACGUCUUAUCUCACAAGAUUUUCGGUGAGAAAUUUGAGCAAUGCAUCGCCAGACUUUUUUUUCGAAACAGAUAAUUCAAUUCCACUCUUCGAUAAAAUCUUUCGAAUAUUGGGUAUUUUAUGCAAUAUCUAAAUCAGUACGAUCGAAAUGAUCGAACUGACGCGAGGCAUGCGUGAUAAUCCGAAUAAAACAAGAUUUCAAUGAUGUUAGUAUAGUUAGUACGAGGGGAGUAUUUUCACGGAUGUGGGUAACGUUUAUGACCUAAAGCGAGAAAAAGAUGUAAGCGGACAAUAAUAAACCAUUUUGGACACGAUUUAUCUCAGCCUGCAAGAUAGUCGAGCUAUCAUAACGAACAGAAUUCACUCACAAUCAGUAUCAUUCACCGCGAUCGCCAUCGAGAACAUGGAAAUACUCCCAUCAAAAAGAGUCUUCAGCAUAGCACUUUCUACAUUCUUUGCUGCGGUUAGCAUGUUAAGAGAACAUCAACUUCAAAUAAACUUUCGAGACUAAAUGUUACGUUGGGCAUAACGAGCCGUAGGUUAAACUUUUUAUUAUUUUUAUAUUAAUUGAGUAAUUGUAUUCUCAAUUGACUGCAAAUUUCGACGAAAAAAGAAAACAAUAUAAAAACGUGCACGAAAAUGAUAAUUUCUUAAAAGAUCUGACCACUAAAUAGCUAAAAAUAACUUUAACAAUGCACGUUGUUGCUAAACAUUUUAUUCGAUAAUAUGCCUCAUGUAAUUUAAACUUAAAUAAUAAUAUCAUUGUAUCAGACGAUUCAUUAAACUCUCAGUUCCAUUGGGAAAAGGCUGCUAUUGAACAUGUAUCGUUCGUUAUUAAUCAUAUUAGUCGAGCACGUCAUAGUACUGUCAUCUCCGAGAAUAUUGACCAUCAUAGAGAUCAUCGUACACAUAAUACGAUAUUAUAGUGUUCGUACUUGUAUAACAGGACGUUUCCACUCUCGAAACUGAUCGAACGCUAAAUUGAUCGAAAAAAACAAGAAAUCUCGUAUGUGAUAUUUGUUACUGAAAAUAAUGAAGAUAAGUUGUUGCGUAAUCAUUGGCAUAAAGUAUAAUUGGCUUGAACGAAUUAAUAAAUUUAAAUGUAGAAUAGAUAUUAUAUAUACAAAUUUAAUAACGCGACUUUUACUUUACGAGCGAUUGUUGUAAUGUUUUAGUAUCAUAUUUUAUCAUUUUGCAAUAUUUUAUUGUCACAAAAAAUAUCUAGAAGAAUAGGGAUAACUUUUCAUAAAUAUAUUCAUUUCACUAGAUGCAAAAAAAAAAUAGAUCAAAAUUCGCGUUGGCAACUUCGAGAGUACGGAGCACGACAUAACAAUAAGUAAUGGGAAACAAUACAAUAAUUUUUCAUACUGUUUUUACUUUUUACUACUAUGAUUACGUAUCUGUAUAAUCUUAUUCUUAUCGUAUACUGUAUAUUUAGCCGCGGCGCAUAUCAAGUGAUGCAUUCUCCGACGCAUUUUAACAGUGCCGCAAAAAUUGUUCUCCGCAGGAUUCACAGUCGAGCAAAUGUUAAAUUCAACGAGAUAAGAUUUACCGAGAAUGUAAAAUAAUUACAUUGGAAAUCUACAACUUUGCGCUACUAAGGAUCGGUUAAAGAGUUCGAUAAAUCACGGAGAUAGGAAUCUAAAAAUCUAAAGAUGCAGAUGUUCCGAGAUCGGCGAGAUAUGUGGGGUCCAAGAAUCCAAGAAUGUGAUCCUGUAAUCUCAGACUCUAGGAAGAAUCUAAAAACCGUCAAAUAUUUAAGGAUCGAAGGAAGGAAAGAAUUUCUCUCUAUCAAAUCUAUCUAUUCGAACAUUUUCAACGAUAUCGGUAUAAGAUACGAUUUAUAUAUUUAUAUAUUUGCUCCGAAAUUUUUAAAAUGUUUACUGCUGAACUUUUUUUAUCGACCAAAGCUGAUUGCUCGCUGUGAACUCGGUAGAGUCUAUCUUUUGCAACAAUCUGUACUGUACACGCGUACCGACGUCACAUCUUAUACUCUAUAGUUUGUAUCUAUAGCAGUUGCCGAGGAUUCUCGAUUAUAAUAUUAGUAUAAAAUAAAUAAGCUUGCGUGUACCGGUGUGCAUAUGUUUCGUGUGCUUGUAUGUACGUAUGCGACUCGAGAGAGAAAGAGAGAGAGAAAGAGAGGAAGAGAAAGGAAGAGCGAUGGCUCUCGCGUGUGUAUUUAUCUCAAGAACGGUUCGCAAUCGGCGUGUAAUACGAGAGAGAAAAUAUUUCCUGAUCCUAACGAAGAGAAAAACGGCGAUAAGCGAAGCUUUGCGCGAAUUUCACAAGUCUUACGAGAUCAGAUGCGAACAAGGGGAACUCGCGUAUUUCGAUGGAGAUACACCCUGUAUCGCGUCAACAUGCUUUCAGUGUAAAUUCUUUCAUAAGCUAGAUUUCGAUACUCCUGAUAAGAAGCGCACAAUUGAAAGAAACGAAUAGUUGCGCUGCGAUUUCUGCGCAUUUCCAUCUCCGAGAAUUAUACAACACAAAAUUGUAAUUACGAAGCAAAAGCUCUCGUUAAAGUACAAAUCUCCAGGGACACCGAACUGUUAUUUUAUCGCUCUUUAAAGGCUAAUAACUUUUUUUGUAUUAUUUAUGCCUCACAGGAGCUUUGAGCAAUCGGGAGGAUUUAAUAAACUCCUAUAUAUUUAAAUUUUAUAAAUUCUAAUUGUCUGAUCUAAUUCUUCCGUCUGAACUUUCGUCGAUUUAAAUUUUGUUUCGUAAAUCGCGAUCUCGUGUAAUAAAUGCAAUAAAAAUAAUUCUUAAGUCGGCAUUACGUCGAUAUACAAUUUACAAGAGCUUUAUAUCGCAGCGUGCAGAAUCGUAAUUAGCGCGCGAUAUCGCGAAGCUUGUUAAACGAUAUCGUAAGAGUUGUUUAACGAAUUUUCUAUUUGAUAUUGCACAGGAUAAUACCAUGUGUCGUGCGAGCGCUCUUAUGCAGAUAUCGCCGUCAAUUAUAAAACGAGAGCUCGACGAAAUGCCGGAAGAAAAGAAUACGAACGGUCGAUAGGCUCGAUGAACGUAGUUUAAGUACACGUGUUACCAUUAUUUACUUGUCAUAUCGAUCCGCGCAUAUCACGUGUGUAACAAUAAAUGAAGCGAGAAAAAGAAAAAGGAAGAAGCAUAGACUGCCGUUGGACUAAGCGUCACAAAUUCACAUAAUAUUGUACACACUUUCAUACGAUUUUUAACAUCCGCGAGAAUAUUACUGAUCGAUUUUACAAAUCGCGCGUCGUUCGAAAAAAGUCGAACGAGUAGUGCUCGUCCACACAUAUUCGACCGUCCAUCGCCAGCAGGACGGGUCGACACAUUGCCAACGGUUUUUUCAAACGAUAUCGUCCAAGUGCUUGAACGCUUAUCCGCGAAUUUCCACUUUUCCGGUUCUCCUUAUUCGAUCUCAAUCAAUCCGGUUCUCCAAACAUUAUUUACCUGAAUAUUAUUUCUCGGCGACUAUAUCUCGAAAUCUUCUGGCAUUAUUUUUACUAUUUUAAUCGUGACUUCGCCAUUGUGACUAUCAAAAUCGAUUCUAACAUCUCGUUAAAAAGAAAUAAAAUUGAAGUAUUUGUCAAAUGGCAAAAGAAUAUUUCUAUGUAUACAAAAAUUAAUAGAUGAACAUUUAUCUUGCAAUGAGAAUCUUUAUUGCUCAGUAAAUUUAUAAUUCCGCAAAAUUAAUAAAAGCUCGAUUAAAAUACGAUAAUACAAUCUAGCUAUAAAAUUUUUUCUAAAAUUAAAAAUGACUUCCCGAUGAAUAAAACGUAAUUGUCGUUUAAGACUUAUAUGAUGAAGGUUAGACUUUAAUAUACACUCUGAGCGAUGCAGAAGUGUCGCUUGACAAGAAUUUAGUUGCGUUUGAAUUAUAUCUGCUUUAUCGUGCAAAAUUGAGCAAAGGACUGUAUAAAACAUUUUGCAAUAAAAUAUUCAGGAGAGCAUAUGGGAUAAUCUCAGGUUUUAUCGCUCGGUAAAAAUUCCGCAAAUAUAUUUUAUCGUGAAGCACAUGUGAAAUAUGGAAAUUCGCAUAAGCGCGACAGUGCGUACGUUACCUUUUUGCGACGAAGCGACAGGUAAGCCGUUCGAGAAUCGCACGAUCGCGAUCGAAGCGCGUCUCUGCAGAUGGACUCGAUAGCGAUAGCAAACUAUUGUAUACCGAUUAGAAAUAGCGCGAAACAGACGCGUUCUUUCGAUUGAUCGUGCGAUUGAUCGGCUGAACACAAUGACCAUGAGCGAACAACGGGGAACUUCGAGCCGCUUGAUAUAAAAUAAUUCAGCGCUUAAAAAGCCGAAAGAGAGGAACACUAAUUAUAUCUCCGUAAAUAUCCUAUAAUAUAUUCAAAACAAAAAAAAAAAGAUAACCAAAGCAUUGUAACCUUCUAGAGGCAAAGAAGAAAUAGCGAAGUACCUAAUCUUGUAUAUGAUUUAGUUCGACCACUGAUUUGUCCGUGUGUGUUCGUUACUGAAAUAUAUGUUUCUUUAGUAAAAAAAUUUUGGAAAAUUUA
Molecule: long non-coding RNA, 10730 nt
Organism: Temnothorax curvispinosus
Lineage: Eukaryota; Metazoa; Arthropoda; Insecta; Hymenoptera; Formicidae
Exons: 3
Source: RefSeq, a predicted model, not a curated record